Molecule: small RNA, 77 nt
Filed under: Xanthomonas oryzae pv. oryzae
Lineage: Bacteria; Pseudomonadati; Pseudomonadota; Gammaproteobacteria; Lysobacterales; Lysobacteraceae
Description: sX9 sRNA
Rfam family: Xanthomonas sRNA sX9
Source: RNAcentral
AUGUACCCCGUGUCCAGAGCGGUUACGGGCGCGCGGUCCGCGCCCACCUGACAGCUGCUCGCUCCGUGUUGUUAGCC